AAAGGCCUAAACUCCGUACAAUCUGCGCAUGCGAAAGAAACGUCAAAGUUGCAAUGUUAUUAAUUAAAAUGUAGGUUAGGUUAUUGUUUUCAUCACAAGCUGGUAUCUGUUAUAAUGAAUAAACAUAUUCGUAAAUCGUAAUGUACAUUUAAACUCACAGACUUUUGACGUUGUUAUACCAAGAGCCAUGUUUCGCUGCGGCAGUAUAAAAUUCGAAAAGGACAGUAUAAGCCCCAUGUUCACAAAUCGUAACCCAAGACAUUUCAAAUACCUACGAAUUGCUAAUAAACCGGACGGCUACUACGGUGAUAAAACUGGAACGCUCCUACUGGCAUAAAUAUACAAAUUUGCUUUCCUACCGCCUCCAAUAAGACAGCCCGAUUGUAGAUGACAACCGACACAAACAGGCCGUCACGUAACUUCAUUGUUCGUGCAUUACAUCAACGGACCCGACACUCACCGCUAGCACGAAGGAAUGGGCCAUCAAAACCAGGCUGUAUAAGACCAUGCAUCAAGUCGUUGGCGUUUCAGUUCUUCGUACAAAGAUACCUUGCAAGCGGUCCGACAGAGUUUAUGUGCGAUUGCAAACCCGAACACAACGGCAGUAAGGUCACAAAGUUUCUAACGUGCUCCAAGAUUUCAAUUUGAAAUUGUCUGAACCGGAAUAGUCAAGAGAGCCGUGGACGAGAGAAAGAUUACCAAACCCGUGGGAUAUAAUCUGACUUGACAGAUAAUGUGAAUCGAUCUUAAAUUGUGGACCUAUUAGUUUCUGUAAAGAGAAGGCUGAGUAUUGGGUCGCUGCAAUGAAGUGAUAGAAAGCCCUACGUUCAGUCUGUCGAGAUGCUUCCCUGUUUCUAACUCAAAGGUUCUUCCAAAGAAGGUGCUUAUUACUAAUUUCUAAAUUGCAUGAAAAACCGUUUAUUUGAUUUUUUAAGAAGAAGUUAAUGGGUUUCAAGAACAAUAAAUUUGAUAAAUAUGUAAACUUUUUAUUGCUUACCAAUAUUUUAAACAUUAAAUAAUAAUAAAUUACAGAAUAAUAAAAAGGGCACCUUAGUUAUAGUGAAUUGGCAAUUUCAAAUUGAAAUCUUGGAGCACAUUAGAAACUUUGCGACCUUACUGACGUUGUGUUCGGGUUUGCAAUCGCACAUAAACUCUGUCGGACCGUUUGCAAGGCAUCUUUGUACUAAGAACUGAAACCUACAAGUAGCAAACAUUAAAUUGAAUGCAGGGACGUUCACGUACGCCAACGACUUGGUGCAUGGUCUUAUACAGCCGGGUUUUGACGGGCCAUUCCUUCGUGCUAGCGGUGAGUGUCGGGUCCAUUGAUGUAAUGCACAAACAAUAAAGUUAAGUGACGGCCUGUUUGUGUCGGUUGUCAUCUACAAUCGGGCUGUCUUAUUGGAGGCGGUAGGAAAGCAAAUUUGUAUAUU
This is a long non-coding RNA of Photinus pyralis (common eastern firefly), 1430 nucleotides long. RefSeq lists it as uncharacterized. NCBI's taxonomy places the organism in Eukaryota, Metazoa, Arthropoda, Insecta, Coleoptera, Lampyridae. The transcript is spliced from 3 exons. The record is from RefSeq and is a predicted model, not a curated record.